UAGGUAGCUUAGGGAUUCUCGUUGUUCCUAUAUGUCUCACCAUUACAGACAGUUACAUAAUUUUUAUGCCCAAAGAUUUAAGGACCGGAUACACCUAGGAGAAACAGAUAAUUUAAUAGAAUUGAAUCCAGGUAACCCCUGAGCAUGUAACCCACAACUAUUUAUUAAACUCUGAAUUACACUAUCCUUUCAGACAGGUAGACUCACUUUAGCAGCACCCCAAUAUCUCUCCUCAACACCCUUUUCCUCUUCUAUAUAGUCCCAUUUUUCCCCUCUCUCUCUCUUCUUAAUGCCUUCUGUUGGACCUCUCAGCUUGACUUGAGUUUAUUACUUUAAAUAAUGAAUAAAGCUUCAGAAAUGCCUGCUAACAGAUAUAAUAAAUGCAAGUUUUUCUAAUCAGUGAGAACCUAAGAAGGAAACUUGAGGUAACAUUAAUAUUAUUACUCCUUUUACAUCAUGAAGCAGAUGAAAGAAUCAGACUGGAAGAAUUGCGUCAAAAGGUAAACUUGUUCAUACUGAGUCUAUCGGAAAUAUUCUCCAGUAUUACUUAUGAAACUAGUCAAAUACUUAGGUAUUGUCGGGAGAAGCAAAAACAGUAACCUAUCUGUAUACUGAACUGGAACUGGUAUGCAUUCUAUGAAUUAG
This 645-nucleotide long non-coding RNA is filed under the name Vigna radiata. RNAcentral's name for it is "long non-coding RNA (VRAD_LNC015621)". The record is from RNAcentral. Lineage: Eukaryota; Viridiplantae; Streptophyta; Magnoliopsida; Fabales; Fabaceae.